Molecule: long non-coding RNA, 207 nt
Organism: Macrobrachium nipponense
Lineage: Eukaryota; Metazoa; Arthropoda; Malacostraca; Decapoda; Palaemonidae
Exons: 3
Source: RefSeq, a predicted model, not a curated record
UCUUCUUCCCUGCUGUAACUGGAAAUUGUUGCUGUGCUAACCUCUCUGGCGAUCUGAAGGAUCCUGCUGUGGCUAUCCCAAAGGGAACCUUGGGUGCCAUCUUUACUACAUUUAUCACGUACAUCAUUUACCCAAUUUUCUUGGGGGCAGCCACUCUUCGUGAUGCUUCAGGCAAUGUCACCGUGUAUGAAAACUUAUUAAACGAAA